This 458-nucleotide ribosomal RNA is filed under the name uncultured bacterium. RNAcentral describes it as "bacterial SSU rRNA". It matches the Rfam family "Bacterial small subunit ribosomal RNA", at positions 340 to 786 of the family's 1533-position model. The record is from RNAcentral.
UACGGAAGGCAGCAGUGGGGAAUAUUGCACAAUGGGCGAAAGCCUGAUGCAGCUAUGCCGCGUGUAUGAAGAAGGCCUUAGGGUUGUAAAGUACUUUCAUCGGGGAGGAAAAAACAAAACUAAUAAUUUUAUUUCUUGACGUUACCCGAAAAAGAAGCACCGGCUAACUCCGUGCCAGCAGCCGCGGUAAUACGGAGGGUGCUAGCGUUAAUCAGAAUUACUGGGCGUAAAGAGCACGUAGGUGGUUUUUUUAAGUCAGAUGUGAAAUCCCUGGGCUUAACCUGGAACUGCAUUUUGAAACUGAAAUACUAGAGUAUCGUAGAGGGAGGUAGAAUUCUAGGUGUAGCGGUGAAAUGCGUAGAUAUCUGGAGGAAUACCUGUGGCGAAAGCGGCCUCCUAAACGAAUACUGACACUGAGGUGCGAAAGCGUUGGGGAGCAAACAGGGAUUUAGGAUACC